CCUACGGGCGGCAGCAGUGGGGAAUAUUGCACAAUGGGGGAAACCCUGAUGCAGCGACGCCGCGUGAGUGAAGAAGUAUUUCGGUAUGUAAAGCUCUGUCAGCAGGGAAGAAAAUGACGGUACCUGACCAAGAAGCCCCGGCUAACUACGUGCCAGCGGCCGCGGUAAUACGUAGGGGGCAAGCGUUAUCCGGAUUUACUGGGAGUAAAGGGAGCGUAGACGGCAGGGCAAGUCUGGAGUGAAAGGCGCGGGCUCAACCCCAGGGCUGCUCUGGAAACUGCCAGGCUGGAGUGCAGGAGAGGUGAAUGGAAUUCCUAGUGUAGCGGUGAAAUGCGUAGAGAUUAGGAGGAACACCAGUGGCGAAGGCGACUUACUGGACUGUAACUGACGUUGAGGCUCGAAAGCGUGGGGAGCAAACAGGAUUAGAUACCCCAGUAGUC
Molecule: ribosomal RNA, 440 nt
Filed under: uncultured bacterium
Lineage: Bacteria
Description: partial 16S ribosomal RNA
Rfam family: Bacterial small subunit ribosomal RNA
Source: RNAcentral